RNAcentral lists this transfer RNA (98 nucleotides) under Laccaria amethystina LaAM-08-1. It matches the Rfam family "tRNA". Rfam says of the family: Transfer RNA (tRNA) molecules are approximately 80 nucleotides in length. Their secondary structure includes four short double-helical elements and three loops (D, anti-codon, and T loops). Lineage: Eukaryota; Fungi; Basidiomycota; Agaricomycetes; Agaricales; Hydnangiaceae. The record is from Rfam by way of RNAcentral.
UCGAGUAUACUGUAACGGCUAACACUGCCGCCUUUCAUUGUAUUAUUGCCGAUGAGUGUUGCACGCGGCAGAUCGGGGUUCAACUCCCCGUACUCGAA